CCCAUGUAUUUAGAAGAAAAAGAUUAUCUUUUUCUAAAUAAACACUACACCUUUAAAUGGGAAAAGAAGGGUUUUAAUUCUCUUGGCAUAAAUAUUGUAUACGAUCCCUCUAACAUAAUGAAGGCCAAUUUAAUUCCAUUAAUAAGAAAUUACUCUUUUUUUAAAACAAUGGAGUACACUAGAAAUAUCAUGGUGGGGUAGACUUAACUCUAUAAAAGCCUUUAUUUUCCCUAAGAUAAUCUAUUUACUAAGAAUGAAUCCGAUGCCUAUACAUCCUUACUGGCUGACUCUUAUAAAUAACAUUUUUAGAAAUUAUACUUGGCUGAAUAAUAUGGCAUAAAUUUCUUCAAUGGUGUAUACAGAAAAAUUGUAUCUCAGAUAAUCCUUCCAUCCCUGACAUUCUCUCUUUUUUACAAGAUGGUUUCCAG
Pelobates cultripes (western spadefoot toad) is the source of this 428-nucleotide non-coding RNA. Lineage: Eukaryota; Metazoa; Chordata; Amphibia; Anura; Pelobatidae. The record is from the annotation of a GenBank genome assembly.